Molecule: ribosomal RNA, 497 nt
Filed under: uncultured bacterium
Lineage: Bacteria
Description: partial 16S ribosomal RNA
Rfam family: Bacterial small subunit ribosomal RNA
Source: RNAcentral
GAUGAACGCUGGCGGCGUGCCUAAUACAUGCAAGUCGAGCGAACGGACUAGAAGCUUGCUUCUCUGAUGUUAGCGGCGGACGGGUGAGUAACACGUGGAUAACCUACCUAUAAGACUGGGAUAACUUCGGGAAACCGUAGCUAAUACCGGAUAAUAUUUUGAACCGCAUGGUUCAAAAGUGAAAGACGGUCUUGCUGUCACUUAUAGAUGGAUCCGCGCUGCAUUAGCUAGUUGGUAAGGUAACGGCUUACCAAGGCAACGAUGCAUAGCCGACCUGAGAGGGUGAUCGGCCACACUGGAACUGAGACACGGUCCAGACUCCUACGGGAGGCAGCAGUAGGGAAUCUUCCGCAAUGGGCGAAAGCCUGACGGAGCAACGCCGCGUGAGUGAUGAAGGUCUUCGGAUCGUAAAACUCUGUUAUUAGGGAAGAACAUAUGUGUAAGUAACUGUGCACAUCUUGACGGUACCUAUUCAGAAAGCCACGGCUAACUACGUG